This 243-nucleotide long non-coding RNA is filed under the name Mytilus galloprovincialis (Mediterranean mussel). The record is from RNAcentral. Lineage: Eukaryota; Metazoa; Mollusca; Bivalvia; Mytilida; Mytilidae.
GUUUGUUUAUGUGUUACAUAUUUGUUUUUUGUUCAUUUUUUUUUUACAUAAAUAAGGCCGUUAAUUUCUCGCUUGAAUUGUUUUACAUUGUCUUAUCGGGGCCUUUUAUAGCUGACUAUGCGAUAUGGGCUUUGCUCAUUGUUGAAGGCCGUACGGUGACCUAUAGUUGUUAAUGUCUGUGUCAUUUUGGUCUUUUGUGGAUAGUUGUCUCAUUGGCAAUCAUACCACAUCUUCUUUUUUAUA